Molecule: RNA transcript, 3488 nt
Organism: Sander lucioperca (pikeperch)
Lineage: Eukaryota; Metazoa; Chordata; Actinopteri; Perciformes; Percidae
Gene: prkcz
Gene name: protein kinase C, zeta
Exons: 18
Source: RefSeq, a predicted model, not a curated record
UUGACAACUCCUCCGCCAGUGAAGCCUCUACCGUUGACUUAACGAAAGAAAACUUCAUAGUAGCUCGACAAGUUUUCUUUCGAGAGUAUUGGACAAAACGCUACUUUUUGUGUUAUGUAACGGUACAUUUUAUCUUUCGACGUGACCGGGUGACACAGCUAGUUUGGGCCUGUCCAGUUAACGUUGGGCUAGUUGGGAGGUAACGUCGUUAACGUUAACGUUACACCAAACUGUACAAUGCAUACCGCCGGUAUGCUAGCGUCAAACGGAUCAAUAAUGGACUUGGACUCGGAGUUGGUGAAAAUAAAAGCACACUACCGUGGGGACAUGUUAAUCGCAGACUUGGCAGCCACGGUAAACUUUGUGGAGUUGCGUGAGGAGGUGAGAAAGAUGUGCAGCGUUGCCAAGCAGCAGCCCAUCACGCUCAAAUGGAUCGAUGAUGAAGGGGACCCUUGUACCAUCUCGUCCCAGAUGGAGCUGGAGGAGGCUUUUCGUAUUUACAGUCGGACCAAGAGGUCUGGACUACUGCUGCAUGUCUUCCCCAGUAUCCCGGAGCGGCCUGGCAUGCCCUGCCCUGGAGAGGACAAAUCGAUCUAUCGCCGCGGGGCCAGAAGAUGGAGGAAACUCUACCGAGUCAACGGACACCUCUUCCAGGCCAAGCGCUUUAACAGGAAAGCCUACUGUGGCCACUGUAGUGAAAGGAUAUGGGGGCUGGGCAGGCAGGGCUACAAGUGUAUCAACUGCAAACUGCUGGUCCAUAAGCGCUGUCACAGACUCAUCCCUCAGACCUGCCAAAGGCUUAUGGAUCCAGUCAUGCCAUCACAGGAGCCCCCUUCAGAUGCCAAGAAUGAAGAAGUGGACCUUCCACCAGAUGACACAGAGGACACCGACGGAAUACCUUUUUUACCACACAACUGUUCCUUGGAUAAAACAGAAGACGCAGAGACAGAGGACAUUAAAGCAGUAGUGGAUGGCAUCGACGGCAUUAAGCUGUCCCAGGACCUGGCUCUGGGCCUGGGGGACUUUGACCUGAUCCGAGUGAUCGGGCGCGGCAGCUACGCCAAGGUGCUGCUGGUUCGGCUAAAGAAGAACAAGCAGGUGUACGCCAUGAAGGUGGUGAAGAAGGAGUUGGUCCAUGACGAUGAGGAUAUCGACUGGGUGCAGACAGAGAAGCAUGUGUUUGAGCAGGCGUCCACCAAUCCAUUCUUAGUAGGCCUCCACUCCUGUUUCCAGACAGAAAGUCGGUUAUUUCUGGUGAUUGAAUAUGUUAACGGCGGGGACUUGAUGUUUCAUAUGCAACGACAAAGGAAGCUCCCUGAAGAACAUGCAAGAUUUUAUGCUGCUGAAAUCUGUAUCGCUCUGAACUUCCUGCAUGAAAAGGGCAUCAUCUACCGAGAUCUGAAGCUGGACAACGUUCUCCUGGAUCACGAGGGACACAUCAAGCUCACAGACUAUGGCAUGUGCAAGGAGGGGAUCAGACCAGGUGACACCACGAGUACCUUCUGUGGAACACCCAACUACAUUGCACCUGAGAUCCUCCGAGGAGAGGACUACGGCUUCAGUGUGGACUGGUGGGCUCUGGGCGUGCUGAUGUUUGAGAUGAUGGCUGGGCGGUCACCGUUUGACAUUAUCACCGACAAUCCUGACAUGAACACAGAGGAGUACCUUUUUCAAGUUAUUCUUGAGAAGCCCAUUCGCAUCCCAAGGUCCCUGUCAGUGAAAGCUGCCAGCGUGCUCAAAGGCUUUCUAAACAAGGAUCCCAAGGAGCGGCUGGGUUGCCAGGUCCAGACGGGCUUCACAGAUAUCAAGGCACACACAUUUUUCCGCAAUAUAGACUGGGACCAGGUAAGAGCAGACUGGACAAGAAAGAGAUGACGCCACCCUUCAAACCUCAAAUCACUGAUGACUACGGCCUCGAAAACUUUGACACGCAGUUUACUAAUGAACCAGUGCAGCUAACACCAGAUGAUGAGGACGUCAUCAAGAGAAUAGACCAGUCAGAGUUCGAGGGAUUUGAAUACAUCAACCCCCUGCUGCUAUCCACUGAGGAGUCUGUAUGAAGGGGAGACCAGCUUCCUCCUUUCGCCCACCUACUGUCUGUCCAAGCUGCCGUCUCAGCCAAAAAAACACUCGCAGGCCAACUCUGAAAGGCGAGGAGGGGGAAGAGUAAAGGGAGGACCAACUCACCCUCUGGACCUUUUUCAACACGGCAAAGCAAACUGGAGAACGGGAACGUUUCCUGCCUGGACCAUUCAGAUAGUUAUGUUGGAAUACCAAACUCUUCUUUUCUUGGCAUCUACAAGGAAAACAAAGACACUGGACUUCAAUAACAUUCCCUGACGUUAUGUUGCCUUCCCCUUUUCUUUUUCCCCCUCCUUCGGCUUCAUUCCUGUCCAUCCUCGUGUCAAAGCACGGCUGGCUUUGUGAUUUGAACAGAGAGCGGUUUCAUUCUGUGCCUGCCAUCACGAACGCAUUUCAACCCGUCUCACAUCCCUGGAUAAAUAUGACAGUUCUGCUGAAGAACUUGAAAUUUUAGAUGCACUUUUUUUUUUUGUUAAUUUUUUUUCUAUAUUUGGCGAGGAGGGGGGGGGCAAGCCUCACACAAAACAAGAAUGUACAAUGAGAAAGAAAACAUAAGUUAUUAUUGUGUAUUAUAGUGUAGGUAGUGAAUCCAUAAUUGAGGAUGCCUUUUCAUUGAUGCAAGUGGCACAUUUUCAUCGCAACCACAAACGUUUCUUUUUAUCUUUUAGGAUUUUCACGAACAACGAGGGUGGGGGGGUGGGGGACGCUUACUGGGAGACGACUUUUUAUUUAAGAAGUGCCUCAAAGAUCGUAUUAAUUACCAUGUCUCUGAUUGCACCUAUCUUUUAUCGAAACAUUUCUUCACCCAUCCCUGGCUUCAGUCGUAAAGACCAACUGAAUCCACGGCUAGACUCUUAACAGCGUUGGUCCAGACCGUUCACAUUUUUUGUGGACCCAAUAUUUUUGGAGCACGGUAGCCUGCCUCAGUCCUGACACUUGACUGAAUCUUUUUAUUUUUAAUGAAUCAAUUCAAAUAAUCAGUGUACAACAGAUCAUUUAUGACUUGUCUGUAGAUUCACAGGAGAAGCUUCCAAGCCAACAUCUGAUAACUGGUGGCAGGUAGAGACUAAAUGACCCCAAUGAUCAUUUAGAAAUGUCACCGAUGGGUGUCGUGCAGCAGGCAGCAUCCAUACAGUCCUGAGUAGGGUUGGGCAUUGUUUAGAUUUUAACCAUUCUUAUUCCAAGUCCGACUUUUCCUUUCGAUUCCGGUUCUUAUCGAUUCCGAUUCUUUAAGGGGUGGAGUUGAAAAGGGUCACAUGCUUAUUUCACAGAUGAGAGGAAAGUUUUAUCCUUAGAGCGCCGCUUACUGUGCUUCAUGGCUGCAACGCAACAAGUGCCUGGAAGUACGGUGGCCGCUAAGGAAACCAAAACUUACGCAUGUAAAAUUUGGAAUCGAUGAUCGGAUU